Molecule: long non-coding RNA, 631 nt
Organism: Apis cerana (Asiatic honeybee)
Lineage: Eukaryota; Metazoa; Arthropoda; Insecta; Hymenoptera; Apidae
Source: RefSeq, a predicted model, not a curated record
UAUAUAUAUAUAUAUAUUGUUUAAAUAAAUAUUUGAAAUGGAAAUAAAAAAAAGUUUAUCCUUAUUACAUUUAUUACAUAUUAAAACAAUUACAUAUAUUAUUUGUAUAAAAUAUUUUAAAAUGAUUUUAUCGUAUUAAAUUUUUUACUAUAAGAAUAAAUUUUUAUGAUAAUUUCAUCUUUUAUUACAUGUAAUGAUAUGAAAUGAGAAUGGUAGUUAUGUUGCUUGAUAAAUAUUUAGACUACGCUGGCUCCAUUAUAGCCAUAUUGGCGACGGUAAUGCCAUAAAUGAAGUUAAUAUUGCGUUCAUUAUUAACCAUUGGAAAUGUGUUUUGCUCGGAGUUUUGACACGAUGGAAUCUCCCAAGCGUGAAAUAUUUUUGUGGUCGUAGAAAUUUGACGAUCUUGAGUUUUUUCGCAAACAAAAUCUAAAGAUUGUUCCAUAGAAUUUACGUUUACUCUUUCUAUCAUUCCAUCUAUUAUAUUCUUUUCAUCGAUAUUGGAGUUUUGAUGCGAGUAUUGCUGCCAUCUUCUUGUGAGGAAGAAAUUAUUUAAUAACGAAAUCAUUAUUCCAAUUUUAAUAUGAUUAUUUGAUUAAUAUAAUGAUGAUAUUUUUUUAGUUAAAAAAUAAAA